Oncorhynchus tshawytscha (Chinook salmon) is the source of this 258-nucleotide long non-coding RNA. Lineage: Eukaryota; Metazoa; Chordata; Actinopteri; Salmoniformes; Salmonidae. The record is from Ensembl.
GUGGAGGGAGGCUGUGGAGGGAGAGGAGGAUGCAGGGAGGCUGUGGAGGGAGAGGAGGGGAUGCAGGGAGGCUGUGGAGGGAGAGGAGGAUGAAGGGAGGCUGUGGAGGGAGAGGAGGAUGAAGGGAGGCUGUGGAGGGAGAGGAGGAUGAAGGGAGGCUGUGGAGGGAGAGGAGGAUGAAGGGAGGCUGUGGAGGGAGAGGAGGAUGCAGGGAGGCUGUGGAGGGAGAGGAGGAUGAAGGGAGGCUGUGGAGGGAGG